RNAcentral lists this transfer RNA (72 nucleotides) under Cavia porcellus (domestic guinea pig). It matches the Rfam family "tRNA". Rfam says of the family: Transfer RNA (tRNA) molecules are approximately 80 nucleotides in length. Their secondary structure includes four short double-helical elements and three loops (D, anti-codon, and T loops). Further hydrogen bonds mediate the characteristic L-shaped molecular structure. tRNAs have two regions of fundamental functional importance: the anti-codon, which is responsible for specific mRNA codon recognition, and the 3' end, to which the tRNAs corresponding amino acid is attached (by aminoacyl-tRNA synthetases). tRNAs cope with the degeneracy of the genetic code in two manners: having more than one tRNA (with a specific anti-codon) for a particular amino acid; and 'wobble' base-pairing, i.e. permitting non-standard base-pairing at the 3rd anti-codon position. The record is from Rfam by way of RNAcentral. Lineage: Eukaryota; Metazoa; Chordata; Mammalia; Rodentia; Caviidae.
AGGGAUAUAGCUCAGUGGCACAGCACCUGCCUGAAAACCACAAGGUCCUGAGUUCAAUUUGCAGUACCCCCA